This 178-nucleotide unclassified non-coding RNA is filed under the name soil metagenome. Its description in RNAcentral is "partial contains 5.8S ribosomal RNA, internal transcribed spacer 2, and large subunit ribosomal RNA". The record is from RNAcentral.
AACGCACGAGACCUGCGGACCUGCGGAGGGAUCAUUAAUGAAUGACCUUAUGGGUCUUCAAUCUCUAAACCUGUGGAAGAUAAAUGUGGUUCGGCGUCCCGGCGCCGUAUUUAUGCUAUAACAAGUUUUGACGUCUGAAUGUAGAAAUAUAAUUUAAAACUUUCAACAACGGAUCUCU